ACUCAAAGGAAUUGACGGGGGCCCGCACAAGCAGCGGAGCGUGUGGUUUAAUUCGACGCAACGCGAAGAACCUUACCUGGGCUUGACAUGCACAUGGUAAAAGCCUGAAAGGGUGAUGACCCGCAAGGGAGUGUGCACAGAUGCUGCAUGGCUGUCGUCAGCUCGUGCCGUGAGGUGUUGGGUUAAGUCCCGCAACGAGCGCAACCCUCGCUGCCAGUUACGAUGUCUGGCGGGACCGCCGGGUCCAACCCGGAGGAAGGUGGGGAUGACGUCAAGUCAGCACGGCUCUUACGUCCAGGGCUACACACACGCUACAAUGGCCGGUACAACGCGCAGCGAAGAGGCGACUCGGAGCGAAUCGCAGCAAAGCCGGUCUCAGUUGGGAUUGCAGGCUGCAACUCGCCUGCAUGAACGCGGAGUUGCUAGUAACCGCAGGUCAGCACACUGCGGUGAAUACGUUCCCGGGCCUUGUACACACCGCCCGU
Molecule: ribosomal RNA, 485 nt
Filed under: uncultured bacterium
Lineage: Bacteria
Description: partial 16S ribosomal RNA
Rfam family: Bacterial small subunit ribosomal RNA
Source: RNAcentral